Molecule: long non-coding RNA, 1566 nt
Organism: Spinacia oleracea (spinach)
Lineage: Eukaryota; Viridiplantae; Streptophyta; Magnoliopsida; Caryophyllales; Amaranthaceae
Exons: 2
Source: RefSeq, a predicted model, not a curated record
UCCCCCGAACCCUCAAUCUCUACCUUGCGGGUGUAUGUUGAGAGAUCCCCACACCAGGGAUCACAAGGGAACCUACGGCCGUCGUGGUCAAACAUAAUUGCACUCCCUUUAUGUCACGAUAACCGGGUUUUGUCAGUUUUUCUCAUUGUCGUUAAAAACUGAAUGGCGACUCCUAUAUUACUAGUCAAUUGGGUGUAAACUCACAGGAAAUCCAAUUACACUUGAUUGAAUAAAAAGAAUCGUCACACCCACGAGGGACGAGGUCACGCAUUAGCCUCGUGCUUUUUCGACCCCCUCACAACGAUAUAGUGAUCUGCUAGUCAUUCUAUACUAGCAAGAGUGGAGUUACGGGGUAUGUUGUGAGUUGGUAAGCUUUUGUGUCGAAGUGAAGGGGUUUGGGUAUAAUGUAGGCAAAAACAAUGGCUAUGCUUUUGCUCAACAAUGAUGCUAGUGCAGGUAGGUUCUAUCACAUGUGUGAUAUAGUCUAGGCUGGUAGUUUUGUUGGGUUCUACCGUGCUAGGAUGUUUUUUCUUGGGUGUAUGCUGAUGGGCAGUAACUGAAGGCCUUAGGCAUAAUUAGCACCCUGUUGAACAACAUAAAUACCUCGAUAGGUGUUGUAGCUUCCUAAAGCGUCAACAAUACGGGCUCUAAGUUGAGGUAGUAUUGUGUAUACGAGAGGUGCAUGAUGUGCGAGGCUUUGUUGCUGCACUCAAUGGGAUUGUUGUUGCUAUAUACGAAGUAAGUUUUUAUGUUAGAUAUUGGUCUACUGAAAUUCAUGAGCUUAUUCGUUUGAAAUUGAUGUUGUCGUUAUUUAGUCUUUGACUAUUUAUUGUGAUGCUUCACAAAGAUUCAGUCACUCUAGCACAUGUCUGAAAUCAUAUUCGUGCAGACUGUGCAUUCCUGUGGUACUCCAAAAUGAAAUCCACAAUCAUUUUGAGGAUUUCAGUGUCGACAGGGACCUCAGCAUGCUGUCAAAUAUUAGAAUGCACAAUCUGAUAUCCUCUUUGUUUGUUUGGGUUUUUUUUUCCGGUUGUACUCCAUAUGUCUCAUCAGAGCUUUACUUUUAACGCAAACAUGAUUUUGGAAUAAAGCUUGUAUUGACUGAAAUAUAAUUUUCAUGGUUAUGUUGUAUGAGGAAAUUCAGAUAAUAUUGGAGGUAGAACGAACAUUUUCCCUACAGGUAGCAGAAAAGGUGUUUAAGUUGAAGUGUCGUGAUCGGGUUUUAGGUUUUUGAGGAUGAAUAACACUUAAAGAAUUAGCGGGACCAUAACCUCGCAGGGGGAACAUCAAUCUUAGUUGAAUGAAGCAAACAUACAAAAUCAGGUCGUAACCAAUCGUGUGGAUACAGUAUAAGAAGUGUUGCUAAAAACGGUUAACUUGUCCAAGAGAGGACACUCCAACUAUGUAGAAUUUUUAUUUUUUUAUUUUUAAUUUUAGAUUGAACAAGAGUUAAUUAUCUAUUAGUUUUAGAAUUUAAAGACAAGGGGAUGUGAUUGUUGAGUUUCACAUAACUUGAAAUUUUGUAGUCAAAUUCUUUUGAGUAAUAAAAUUACCAUUUUGUUUUAA